UAUUGAAAAUUUCAUCCAUUUGUACUAUUAAAAGCUGACAUAGUUGACAAAAUAACUAGAUAGUGACACGUGGCACGCUACGUGGCACGCUACGUGUACUUCAUGCUAACGUACAAUACCAGUUUUUAAUAGUAAAAAUGGAUAGAAUUUUUAAGA
Molecule: non-coding RNA, 156 nt
Organism: Gossypium hirsutum (cotton)
Lineage: Eukaryota; Viridiplantae; Streptophyta; Magnoliopsida; Malvales; Malvaceae
Source: Rfam